AAUAGUAUCUAGCGACUGUUUAUCUAAAACUCAGGUCUGUGCUAAAAGGUAAGGUGAUGUAUAGGGGCUGACUCCUGCCCGGUGCUGGAAGGUUAAGAGGAGUGGUUAGCAUCUGCGAAGCUAAGAAUAGAAGCCCCACUAAACGGCUGCCGUAACUAUAACGGUCCAAAUGUAGCGAAAUUCCUUGUCGGGUAAGUUCCGACC
RNAcentral lists this ribosomal RNA (204 nucleotides) under Staphylococcus aureus. RNAcentral describes it as "partial 23S ribosomal RNA". It matches the Rfam family "Bacterial large subunit ribosomal RNA", at positions 1785 to 1988 of the family's 2925-position model. The record is from RNAcentral. Lineage: Bacteria; Bacillati; Bacillota; Bacilli; Caryophanales; Staphylococcaceae.